This 253-nucleotide ribosomal RNA is filed under the name uncultured bacterium. Its description in RNAcentral is "partial 16S ribosomal RNA". It matches the Rfam family "Bacterial small subunit ribosomal RNA", at positions 524 to 776 of the family's 1533-position model. The record is from RNAcentral.
UACAGAGGUCUCAAGCGUUGUUCGGAUCCAUUGGGCGUAAAGGGUGCGUAGGCGGCGCUGUAAGUCGGGUGUGAAAUCUCGGGGCUUAACUCCGAAACUGCAUUCGAUACUGCCGUGCUUGAGGACUGGAGAGGAGACUGGAAUUUACGGUGUAGCGGUGAAAUGCGUAGAUAUCGUAAGGAAGACCAGUGGCGAAGGCGGGUCUCUGGACAGUUCCUGACGCUGAGGCACGAAGGUCAGGGGAGCAAACGGG